This 511-nucleotide ribosomal RNA is filed under the name uncultured bacterium. Its description in RNAcentral is "bacterial SSU rRNA". It matches the Rfam family "Bacterial small subunit ribosomal RNA", at positions 17 to 518 of the family's 1533-position model. The record is from RNAcentral.
UUAUGGCUCAGGAUGAACGCUAGCGAUAGGCCUAACACAUGCAAGUCGAGGGGCAGCACAUGAGUAGCAAUACGAUGGUGGCGACCGGCGCACGGGUGAGUAACACGUAUGCAACCUACCUCUAACAGGGGGAUAACCCGUUGAAAGACGGACUAAUACCCCAUAAUACAGGGGCUCCGCAUGGAGAUAUUUGUUAAAGAUUUUAUCGGUUAGAGAUGGGCAUGCGUUCCAUUAGCUAGUUGGUGAGGUAACGGCUCACCAAGGCGACGAUGGAUAGGGGAACUGAGAGGUUUAUCCCCCACACUGGAACUGAGACACGGUCCAGACUCCUACGGGAGGCAGCAGUGAGGAAUAUUGGUCAAUGGAGGCAACUCUGAACCAGCCAAGUCGCGUGAAGGAUGAAGGUCUUAUGGAUUGUAAACUUCUUUUGCAGGGGAAUAAAUAGCGGUACGUGUACCGUUUUGCAUGUACCCUGCGAAUAAGGAUCGGCUAACUCCGUGCCAGCAGCCGC